This is a long non-coding RNA of Gavialis gangeticus (Gharial), 118 nucleotides long. RefSeq lists it as uncharacterized. Lineage: Eukaryota; Metazoa; Chordata; Crocodylia; Gavialidae. The record is from RefSeq and is a predicted model, not a curated record. The transcript is spliced from 3 exons.
UGGGUGAUCAUGCUCAGGGGAGAUCCACAACAUGGGUUCAAAGGCAGAUCCUGCUAGACCAACCUGAUGGCCUUUUAUGACCAGGUAACUUAAUCCCUGGAUGAUGUUGUUGUGGACG